CCCCCCGCUUGAUGGCUGCUGCCCCCCUGGCGUUGGCGGCCGGCGCCCAGGCCCCGCGGGGACGCGCGUUCUGCUCCGCGCCCUUCCCAGCUCCGCGGAAAGGGAGACACCGCCGGAACCGGGCGCCCCUGCGCUCCGAAUGCUAGAGACGCUUUAGCCCGGAGCGCCCUCGAAUAAAUACACUCUGAGGGUGUAAGUGUGGAGGGAUCUACUGGGGGCUGAGAAAAGGGCUUCCAGUCCCCCGCCUGGCCCCUGGGCCUCCCUUUCCUCCACCCUCUAGCAGGUCAGAGACUGGGAAGCCGCCGAAGCUGGAACCCACCUUGGGGGUUGGCAAGGUCUCCUGCGGCCCCUCAGGGGCACUGGCCGCGCCCUGCCCCUCCCCCCACACACCCUGCCAAAUUCACCCUGGCCUGGGCCAACUCCCCUUCCCGGGAGAGGUGGGCGUGCAUGGUUCUCUUUCCUUGCAAGUGUGUCCUUGUCGGCCAAGAAGAAGGCCGAAACUGUCAACUCCACCUCUGCCUUCACCCCUCAUGUCACUGUCCUCGAUGUGCGUGGGUGAGCUGGAAACUAGCGCCCACCCCAGGCGGGUACCCUGCUCGGCUAGGGCGUCAGGAUCCCUGAGACGUAAACAGGAUUUCGGGUUUAGGACACCUGCCACCCGGGAGAAGGGAAGAUGCCGCUCUCGGACCUCACAGGCCGUCCUUGCAGGAAUGGGUCGCAGGGAAGGACCAGCCUAAUGAGGAGACUGACGGUGGAAACUCCAGGGAAAGCCCCAAUUAUUACACAGAGGAAACUGAGACAGAAAGGAAUGAUGUUGUUGCAGUGUUGGGAACAGAACUCAGAGCCUUACUCAAGACAGAAAGCAGAGACGGGAAAGAAUUCUGGGGCCCGCGGCCAAUCCCCUCCUCGAGGGCAGAGGGACCAAGAGCACCCAUUUUCCAAGCCCACCCACCCAGAAGCGUUGAAAGGGGGUGCAUUUCCUCUGUGGCGCCGCAGAACGGGGAGUCGGCGAUGAGGGGUCCCUCGCGCUUCGCCUGGCUCCAGGGGCGCAGCUCCAGACGCCGAGGGGCAGGAGGGGUGGCGAGUGACCAGCAGGGGGGCGCCCCAGCCCCAGCC
Molecule: long non-coding RNA, 1116 nt
Filed under: Heterocephalus glaber (naked mole-rat)
Lineage: Eukaryota; Metazoa; Chordata; Mammalia; Rodentia; Bathyergidae
Description: lncRNA (ENSHGLG00000036237.1)
Source: RNAcentral